Molecule: ribosomal RNA, 497 nt
Filed under: uncultured bacterium
Lineage: Bacteria
Description: partial 16S ribosomal RNA
Rfam family: Bacterial small subunit ribosomal RNA
Source: RNAcentral
GAUGAACGCUGGCGGCGUGCCUAAUACAUGCAAGUCGAGCGAACAGACGAGGAGCUUGCUCCUCUGACGUUAGCGGCGGACGGGUGAGUAACACGUGGAUAACCUACCUAUAAGACUGGGAUAACUUCGGGAAACCGGAGCUAAUACCGGAUAACAUGUUGAACCGCAUGGUUCAACAGUGAAAGACGGUCUUGCUGUCACUUAUAGAUGUAUCCGCGCCGCAUUAGCUAGUUGGUAAGGUAACGGCUUACCAAGGCAACGAUGCGUAGCCGACCUGAGAGGGUGAUCGGCCACACUGGAACUGAGACACGGUCCAGACUCCUACGGGAGGCAGCAGUAGGGAAUCUUCCGCAAUGGGCGAAAGCCUGACGGAGCAACGCCGCGUGAGUGAAGAAGGUCUUCGGAUCGUAAAACUCUGUUAUUAGGGAAGAACAAAUGUGUAAGUAACUAUGCACGUCUUGACGGUACCUAAUCAGAAAGCCACGGCUAACUACGUG